RNAcentral lists this ribosomal RNA (429 nucleotides) under bacterium. Its description in RNAcentral is "partial 16S ribosomal RNA". It matches the Rfam family "Bacterial small subunit ribosomal RNA", at positions 355 to 776 of the family's 1533-position model. The record is from RNAcentral.
UAGGGAAUCUUCGGCAAUGGGGGCAACCCUGACCGAGCAACGCCGCGUGAGUGAAGAAGGUUUUCGGAUCGUAAAGCUCUGUUGUAAGAGAAGAACGUGUGUGAGAGUGGAAAGUUCACACAGUGACGGUAACUUACCAGAAAGGGACGGCUAACUACGUGCCAGCAGCCGCGGUAAUACGUAGCUCCCGAGCGUUGUCCGGAUUUAUUGGGCGUAAAGCGAGCGCAGGCGGUUUAAUAAGUCUGAAGUUAAAGGCAGUGGCUUAACCAUUGUUCGCUUUGGAAACUGUUAAACUUGAGUGCAGAAGGGGAGAGUGGAAUUCCAUGUGUAGCGGUGAAAUGCGUAGAUAUAUGGAGGAACACCGGUGGCGAAAGCGGCUCUCUGGUCUGUAACUGACGCUGAGGCUCGAAAGCGUGGGGAGCAAACAGG